CCGGCGGCGGAGCAGGCCCGGCGGGGCCGCGCGUGACGCACUUCGGUAACCCGAGUCCCGCCCGGCGCCGCGCGGCCCCGGCCCCGAUGGGCCCCAGGGAAGGGGGGGGGGGGGGAAGCGGGCAGGCUGCGGCGGGAGGGGCAGCGCUCCCACACGGCCGGGCCGAAGCGGCCCAAAAUCAAAGGGAAAGCGCUGAGAGCGGCCCGGGGUGGCGAGUGUGGGUUCGAGCCGGGCAGCGCGGAGAGGAGAACGCCGAGCGGAGCUCCGGGAGCCCGCAGAGAGCUGAGCGCAGAGCCGGGGGAGAAACCAGCCACAAAUGUAAUAAUAAAAAGGAGAAGCCCCGAGUUCCUGGCCGCGCCGAGCUCCGCACCACGUCGGCAGCCGGAGUUGGCUCGGGGCUUUCUUUUUUCCUUUUUUUUUUUUUUUUUGGCUGUAAGUCCACGUAUAGAAAGCAAGCAGGAGAGCAGCGAAGCGGGGCCCGGUGCCUACCUAGGCCGGCGCAGCCCGGCGCUCCCGUGGCCGCCCGGGCAGGGCGCAGCUCGCAGCGGGCAGACCGCCCCAAACAAAAGUGGCGCCAAAACCCCCCGUGCCGGGCUGCGGCUCUUCCUCCUCCUCCCCCCUCCCCCUCACGAGGGCCGCCCCGGAGCCUGGCGGGACCCCGCCGCACGCGGCCCGGCCCGCGCUGUCCGUCCUGUACAAAGUCAAUAAAAUAACCACCAGGAGCGCCGCGCGGAGCUGCCCGGCUCUUCCCGCCGCUCCGUUUCCCGGCGCGGCCCAGCGCCCUCCUCCCGCGCGCCGCCCGCUCCUCUCCGGCUCUGCCCUCCCCGCCCGGCCGAGCCCGGCGGCGCACACACAAUGCCCGGGUCCUCCAUCUUGCCGGCAGCCGCCGUUCGGCUCGGGGGAAGGGGGAGGAGGAGAAGGAGGUUCUCCAUUUUAGCUCGCCGACCGCCGGGCCCGGCCUGCCCGCGGCCCACCCCGGGGCGGAGGAGCGGGCCCCGUGCCCGUGCCGGGGGGCCGCUUUCGGGGCCCUCCGCUCUCCGCCGGCGCCGCCGCUCGCGUGCCCCCUCCCCGCCGAGCGCGCCGGGGGGGUGGGGAGCGGGGGCCGGAGUGUUUUCGCGGCUCGGCCCCGCCGUCCUCCAUCUUGGCUGCGCCGAGCCCCGCGGCCUGCCGCCCCGCGCCGCGCCCCGGCCCGGCCCCGCUCCGUCGCCGCGCGCCCCGCUCCCGCGUCCCCCCUCCAAACUUCCAGAAGCUUCGCCGCCAUUUUCUAACUUACCUUGCCCAGCGUAGGCGCAGGCGGCGAGGAGGCCCGGGCGCGGCGCCGCGCUCCUCCGUCCCCGGCUCGGCCGCCGCUCGCGCGCCCGGCCCGGCCCGGAGACGUGCCGGCGGGGGGGUCUGGGCCCGGCGGGGAGCGGGCAGGUUAUUUAAUUUGGCGGCGGCGCCGGGGAUUGUUUGGGGUGUUCGCGGCUCGGCGGCUCGCGAGCGAAUGGAGGGCGCAGGCG
Molecule: long non-coding RNA, 1499 nt
Filed under: Gallus gallus (chicken)
Lineage: Eukaryota; Metazoa; Chordata; Aves; Galliformes; Phasianidae
Source: RNAcentral